This is a non-coding RNA of Strongylocentrotus purpuratus (purple sea urchin), 157 nucleotides long. NCBI's taxonomy places the organism in Eukaryota, Metazoa, Echinodermata, Echinoidea, Camarodonta, Strongylocentrotidae. The record is from Rfam.
AUACUUACCUGACGCAGGGGUCGCAUUGAUCAAGAAGGAUGCACCCCCAGGGCGAGGCUUGCCAUUGCACUCUGGCUUGCUGAAUCUUGCGGUUCCCCUCGGGGAACUCGGGCGUAUAAUUUAUGGUAACGGAGAUCUGCGUUCGCGCUAUCUCCUA